Molecule: long non-coding RNA, 359 nt
Filed under: Phaseolus vulgaris (common bean)
Lineage: Eukaryota; Viridiplantae; Streptophyta; Magnoliopsida; Fabales; Fabaceae
Description: long non-coding RNA (PVUL_LNC002489)
Source: RNAcentral
ACUACACAUGUUCAUGAAGUUAAAUCUUCCAUUGGUUUGCAACCUUAGUAUUUCAUCCCAAUCUGAAUCUGACAUGGUCUGAAGAAAGCGUAAUAUUAGAGAACCAAGAACAUAAAAAAGAAUUGGAGAAAACAAACCAAAAAACAUUUUGACAAACAAUUCAAAUAGGUAUGUUAUGGAUGCACCAAAAAAUGAAAAGAAAAGAUUAAAGAAUCACCUUUUAUUCGAAAAAGAAGAAAGUUAGUGAUCCAGCCGGUUGACCAAACGCAAGAACGUUGCCUCGUCACAAACUACUCUCACCAGCUUCAACGCCACGUGUACUUCAAGUCUUCGUUCCAAUUUUAUUGGAUGUCAACUAA